This 86-nucleotide transfer RNA is filed under the name bacterium. RNAcentral describes it as "tRNA-Leu". It matches the Rfam family "tRNA". Rfam says of the family: Transfer RNA (tRNA) molecules are approximately 80 nucleotides in length. Their secondary structure includes four short double-helical elements and three loops (D, anti-codon, and T loops). Further hydrogen bonds mediate the characteristic L-shaped molecular structure. tRNAs have two regions of fundamental functional importance: the anti-codon, which is responsible for specific mRNA codon recognition, and the 3' end, to which the tRNAs corresponding amino acid is attached (by aminoacyl-tRNA synthetases). tRNAs cope with the degeneracy of the genetic code in two manners: having more than one tRNA (with a specific anti-codon) for a particular amino acid; and 'wobble' base-pairing, i.e. permitting non-standard base-pairing at the 3rd anti-codon position. The record is from RNAcentral.
GCCGGAGUGAUGGAACUGGUAGACGUGCCAGACUCAAAAUCUGGUGAGGCUCACACCUCGUGUCGGUUCGACCCCGACCUUCGGCA